Molecule: transfer RNA, 74 nt
Filed under: Cytobacillus firmus
Lineage: Bacteria; Bacillati; Bacillota; Bacilli; Caryophanales; Bacillaceae
Also listed under: 13 other names
Description: tRNA-Trp
Rfam family: tRNA
About the family: Transfer RNA (tRNA) molecules are approximately 80 nucleotides in length. Their secondary structure includes four short double-helical elements and three loops (D, anti-codon, and T loops).
Source: RNAcentral
AGGGGUAUAGUUUAAUGGUAAAACGAAGGUCUCCAAAACCUUUGAUGUGGGUUCGAUUCCUGCUACCCCUGCCA